CGAACGCUGGCGGCGUGCUUAACACAUGCAAGUCGAACGGAAAGGCCUCUUUCGGGGGGUACUCGAGUGGCGAACGGGUGAGUAACACGUGAGUAACCUGCCCUUGACUUUGGGAUAACUUCAGGAAACUGGGGCUAAUACCGGAUAGGAGCUCCUGCUGCAUGGUGGGGGUUGGAAAGUUUCGGCGGUUGGGGAUGGACUCGCGGCUUAUCAGCUUGUUGGUGGGGUAGUGGCUUACCAAGGCUUUGACGGGUAGCCGGCCUGAGAGGGUGACCAGCCACAUUGGGACUGAGAUACGGCCCAGACUCCUACGGGAGGCAGCAGUGGGGAAUAUUGCACAAUGGGUGGAAGCCUGAUGCAGCAACGCCGUGUGCGGGAUGACGGCCUUCGGGUUGUAAACCGCUUUCGCUCAUGACGAAGCUUUGUGUGACGGUAGUGGGUAAAGAAGCACCGGCUAACUACGUG
Molecule: ribosomal RNA, 465 nt
Filed under: uncultured bacterium
Lineage: Bacteria
Description: partial 16S ribosomal RNA
Rfam family: Bacterial small subunit ribosomal RNA
Source: RNAcentral